CACACACACAUAACCAUACACGUGAACACACACACACACAAAACCAUGGUUUUAUACAAAACCAUGUGUCAAACCGUGUGCCACAAACACACACACACACACACCCUCAAUGUAUUUUUUUCUUUCUCUCGGAUAACACACACACACUUCUCCCUCAUUCCACACACACACACACGCACACACCCUCCAUCUACAGAGAUCGGAGAUCUCUCUUCUCCCAAACACACACACACACACACACACACAGAUCGGAGAUCUCUCUUCUCCAUUCUCCGAUCUCUCUUCUCCCAAACACCCACAUACAAAGAGAGAUCUCCAAUCUCUCUUCUCCCAAACACACACACACACACACAGAUCUCUCGAUCUCUCUUCUCCCUUCGCCGUUGAUCGUGGCUCUGGCGAAGUCGGAGUUGGCUCAGUUGUCUCUGGCGGUGCGCCGCUGAGCAAGGAUCACGUUCAGUCAUCUGGUUCGUCUUCGUCUUCGUCAGGUGAGAUUCCAUUGAAACCCUAAACCCUAAACCGACUUCACAUAUGUUGAAUCGUUUAUGCAUGCGUGAAAUCUAAAGUUUAUAUGUGAAAUUGAUGUUAAAAUUCGUGUUUUUGCAAGGUUUUUGGGACGAAAUCGGCCCGGGAAUAGGCACACCGUCUCCGGCGUUCUUCUCUGACGUCGCCUCGGAGUCUGAUUGCACCAAACUCAAAAAAAUUUGGCCGAUAUUUCCAAAAUAUCGCGAUAUUAUCGAUAAUAUCGCGAUAUUUGGCCGAAAACCAUUCGGAUACCACUUAGAAUAUCCAUCACCCGAAAAACCGAUAAUAUCGGCGAUAUUUCGCCGAUAUUAUCGGCAUUUUCUUCCAUGAUCAUACCAUU
RNAcentral lists this long non-coding RNA (865 nucleotides) under Malus domestica (apple). RNAcentral's name for it is "long non-coding RNA (MDOM_LNC017647)". Lineage: Eukaryota; Viridiplantae; Streptophyta; Magnoliopsida; Rosales; Rosaceae. The record is from RNAcentral.